Folsomia candida is the source of this 171-nucleotide long non-coding RNA. RefSeq lists it as uncharacterized. The transcript has 2 exons. The record is from RefSeq and is a predicted model, not a curated record. Lineage: Eukaryota; Metazoa; Arthropoda; Collembola; Entomobryomorpha; Isotomidae.
ACAUUAAUCUCGGCGUUAGAUUUCAUUCUCAGCCUGGGAAAGUGGUGACAACGCAGAUCGAGCAUAAAAGUUCAGCAGAAUUUUGAGACAAGGGUGGUUUAGAACCAAUUUACAGACCUGAUAGCAUCCGGGAGGAUAAUCCAAUUUACAGACCAGAUGACGAAAAUUCAC